RNAcentral lists this transfer RNA (85 nucleotides) under Faecalibacterium prausnitzii. RNAcentral's name for it is "tRNA-Ser". It matches the Rfam family "tRNA". Rfam says of the family: Transfer RNA (tRNA) molecules are approximately 80 nucleotides in length. Their secondary structure includes four short double-helical elements and three loops (D, anti-codon, and T loops). Lineage: Bacteria; Bacillati; Bacillota; Clostridia; Eubacteriales; Oscillospiraceae. The record is from RNAcentral. RNAcentral also lists the same sequence under 7 other names.
GGAUGAUUGGCAGAGUAGACGAAUGCGGCGGCUUGCUAGGCCGUAAACCGUAAAAGGUUCGCAAGUGCAAAUCUUGCAUCAUCCG